RNAcentral lists this ribosomal RNA (2405 nucleotides) under Triticum aestivum (bread wheat). RNAcentral's name for it is "partial small subunit ribosomal RNA". Lineage: Eukaryota; Viridiplantae; Streptophyta; Magnoliopsida; Poales; Poaceae. The record is from RNAcentral.
ACCGGCCCUCCCCUCUCGGCCCACCAGCUAUAUAAGCUCAGCCUCGGCCUCCAUCCUCGCCCUUUCCCCCGCAUCUCCAUCUCAUCUCUGAUUAACCCUAGGCGGCGCCUCCUCUCCUUCUUCCUCCUCCAGCCUCCCGCAACACAACGAGCUCAGCCAAGCCUCCUGCGACGACAGAGAGGCUCCGCUCAUCCAUGGCCUGGCUCCCACGGCCAUGGCCAAGGUCUCUUGAGGCUUGCCCUUGAAGACUUUGGCCAUGUCCAUGGUGGCCAUGGCAUCUUCGGAAGAUCGAGAUUGCUGCAGUUAGCAUCUCAUGUUCAUGUUUCCCCGGUCGCACAGCUCGUCAGGCGAGAGGGAUGCGCCGAUAUGUGAUUUGGACGUAGUCCACAGUUUUUUCUUCUUCCUUAUUCUUUUCUUGGGCUUCUUUUAUCCUUUCGGGCCGUCCAAUGUCGAUUUUCUUCUGGGCUUGGCCGUGGCGGCCGUAACUUGAAAUUCGGAAUGGGCUGGGCUGCUGUGUAACUGAUCUGGUUUGCUGUGGGCCGAGAUCGGCCUUCUUCGCGAAUGGCUGGGAAACCUCACUCUCUCUAUAUAUUGAUGGUCAUUUCGCCCCCUCCCCGAAACCCUAAACCGGCGGCGGAGGCUGAGAGAGUCAGGCAGCUCUCCCAGCUGCUGGAUUCGACCACUCCGAAGGCCAUGGCGCUCCGGUCUGCCGCUGGAACUGCGGCCAGGGGCGUUGGAUCUCUCCGCCAGCACUCUCUCGUGGCAACCAGGGCUGGGGAGGUUUUUCUUCCGAAAAUCUCAGCGGCCUGCUCCCCUUUCCCAUCGGGUUUCCGGUUCCUCUCCACAAAGGACCCUUCUCUUACGAUGAUUCAGGAUGCUGUCCAGGAGGGACUGAAAUCUGAUGCUCUGAAGCUCGUGGUCCAAGCUGCAGUCGAUGAGGGUCUCAAAUCGGAUGCUCUAAAGCAUACCAUUGAACUGGCAGUUCAAAAGGCAUUGAAAUUUGACGUGGAAGGACCCACGAAAGCUCAGGCCAUGGGGGUUUACAGUGCGUCCAGUUCGGCAGAUCCCCUUCCCAAGAGCGACGCAGCCUACAGCACUUCAGGAUACUGGCCGGCCGAUCCCCUUCCCAAGAGCACUAGCGCCUACUGCCUUUCUGGAUCCAGGGUUUCCAGGUCUGCGGAUCUCCUUAUCAAGAGCUCUGCUGCAUACUGCCCUUGUCUCUCCAGGGUGUCCAGGUCGCUGGUUCUUAUUCCCAAGACCUCUGCAGGGUACUUCUCUUCUGUCUCCAGGACGUGCUUUCUACCCCUGUCUGGUCCCCGUUUCUUCAGCACCCAGAAGGGUUGUGCUGACCUUGACAAGUUUGAUAAAUUCGAGAAGCUGUAUCAAAAGGAUAGAGUUCAUGUCUCGACGGGACUAGAUCGCAUAGUUGGCCUAUUGUAUGAACUGAAGGAGGAUGUCGAUCAAACCGACUUUAUUCAGAAGUGGCUUACUAACAUUGGCAAGGAGACUCUUUUACUAUCAGACAGCCAGAUUGAAGGUAUUGGUAAAGGUUGGACUUGUCUCAACUACGGCGGUGGUUUUUUUGCCUGGGGUACACUGGUUUACUUUGGCGUGAUGACAAUCAGAGAGAAUAACAUCCCCUACACGGAUUACUUUCAUUUAUUGAAUGCUGUCCGUGUCCAAGCCUUGAAUAGGGGUAUCGCCCAAUACAAAGCUGAGAAACAGGAGCUGGAGGAUGCGGUGAAUGCUAAAGCGGUGAUGGCUGCACUCGCAAAGAAGGCGGCAGAGGAUGCUGCCGCUGAGAAGAAGGCAAAGGAUGUCGAGGCUGCCGCCUCCAGGAAGGCCAAGGCGGAGCAGACAGGUGCGAAGUGGAGGUCCAAGUCAGAACAGGCUGCUGCCCUUAGAAAGGCUAAGGCGAGAGAGGUCCGUGACGCCAAUUUGACCAAGUGGAAGCAGUCCAACGCCGAGAGGAAGGAGGCGGACACAGCAAGGAAGGCAAAGGCAGCUCAGGCCGCCGCGGAAAUCAAGGCAAAGCUGAAGGAGGCCGCUGAGAAGAGGAUGGCCAAGGCUGAAAAGCUGGCUGCUGCCGUGGCGGCUGCGAGGAAGGCCAAGGCGGCUGCUAAGUCUGGUCCCAAGAAGUAGAAGUAGACAGUGUUGCUAACUUGUCUCCUGUGUCCUUUGAUCAUGUUGGGGGAUUUUUGUGCAGAGAACUACUUUGAAUCAUCAUUUCAGUGUUGGUGGAUAUCCAGUACUUCAUAGUGGGUUUGUUAGUUCCUCUGGUACUGUCUUACCGCUGGCAAGAGUGAUUUUGUUUGAGAUGAGAACCAAAGCUUUGAAAGAAUGUUUAGAUGUCAAACUGCAACCAGUAUCGACAGAGCCAUUUGUUAAUCGUUAACAACUGCCGC